Molecule: ribosomal RNA, 1184 nt
Filed under: uncultured organism
Description: bacterial SSU rRNA
Rfam family: Bacterial small subunit ribosomal RNA
Source: RNAcentral
AACACAUGCAAGUCGAGGGGCAGCAUGAGUGGCAACACUUGAUGGCGACCGGCGCACGGGUGAGUAACGCGUAUGCAACCUACCUCUGACUGGAGAAUAGCCCGAAGAAAUUCGGAUUAAUGCUCCAUAAGACCACGAUACCGCAUGAUAAAGUGGUAAAAGUUCCGACGGUUAGAGAUGGGCAUGCGUGCCAUUAGUUUGUUGGUGAGGUAAUGGCUCACCAAGGCAACGAUGGCUAGGGGGUCUGAGAGGAUGAUCCCCCACACUGGUACUGAGACACGGACCAGACUCCUACGGGAGGCAGCAGUGAGGAAUAUUGGUCAAUGGACGCAAGUCUGAACCAGCCAUGCCGCGUGCAGGAUGAAUGCCCUAUGGGUUGUAAACUGCUUUUCUACAAGAAGAAACCCCUUGACACGUCAAGGGCUGACGGUAUUGUAGGAAUAGGCAUCGGCUAACUCCGUGCCAGCAGCCGCGGUAAUACGGAGGAUGCAAGCGUUAUCCGGAUUCAUUGGGUUUAAAGGGUGCGUAGACCGGGGUAAUAAUCAACGUGGUGAAAAGCCUGCGGGCUUAACCGGUAGAUUUGCCAUUGAUACUGCUAUUCUUGAGUGCAGUUGAGGUAGGCCGGAAUGUGUAAUGUACCCGGGUGAAAUGCUUAGAUAUUACACAGAACACCGAUUGCGUAAGGCAGGUUACUAAACUGGUUACUGGCGCUGAGGCACGAAAAGCGUUGGGAGCGAACAGGAUUUAGAUACCCUGGUUAGUCCACGCUGUAAACGAUGAUCACUCGCUGUUGGCGAUACACUGUCAAGCGGCUGAGCGAAAGCAUUUAAGUGAUCCACCUGGGGAGUACGACCGCAAGGUUGACACUCAAAGGAAUUGACGGGGGCCCGCACAAGCGGUGGAACAUGUGGUUUAAUUCGAUGAUACGCGAGGAACCUUACCUGGGCUUAAAUGCAGAACGACGUACCGGGAAACUGGUAUUCCCUUCGGGGCGGACUGCAAGGUGCUGCAUGGUUGUCAUCAGCUCGUGCCAUGAGGUGUCGGGUUAAGUCACAUAACGAGCGCAACCCUCAUCGUUAGUUGCCAGCGAGUAAUGUCGGGGACUCUAACGAAACUGCCGGUGUAAACCGUGAGGAAGGUGGGGAUGACGUCAAAUCAGCACGGCCCUUAUGUCCAGGGCUACA